RNAcentral lists this ribosomal RNA (456 nucleotides) under uncultured bacterium. RNAcentral describes it as "bacterial SSU rRNA". It matches the Rfam family "Bacterial small subunit ribosomal RNA", at positions 29 to 506 of the family's 1533-position model. The record is from RNAcentral.
GCGAACGCUAGCGGCGGGCUUAACACAUGCAAGUCGAGCGGGGAACUUCGGUUCCUAGCGGCGAACGGGUGAGUAACACGUAGGUCACGUGCCCCAUGGUUCGGGAUACCCCAGGGAAACCUGGCUCAAUACCGGAUAUCGUCUUUCGGGAUGAAAGCCUUCGGGCGCCAAGGGAUCGGCCUGCGGCCCAUUAUCUAAUCCUAGUUGGUAGGGUAACGGCCUACCAAGGGUACGAUGGGUAGCUGGUCUGAGAGGAUGGUCAGCCACACUGGGACUGAGACACGGCCCAGACUCCUACGGGAGGCAGCAGUGGGGAAUAUUGCGCAAUGGGCGAAAGCCUGACGCAGCCACGCCGCGUGUGUGAUGAAGGCCUUCGGGUUGUAAAGCACUGUCGGGAGGGAAGAAGGCACUUAUGUGCUUGACGGUACCUCGCAAGAAAGCACCGGCUAACUCCGU